RNAcentral lists this ribosomal RNA (1344 nucleotides) under Lottia gigantea (owl limpet). RNAcentral's name for it is "bacterial SSU rRNA". It matches the Rfam family "Eukaryotic small subunit ribosomal RNA", at positions 283 to 1509 of the family's 1831-position model. Lineage: Eukaryota; Metazoa; Mollusca; Gastropoda; Lottiidae. The record is from RNAcentral.
CCCGACGACUUUGCCAUGAAGUGUCUGUCCCAUCAAUUGGCGAUGGUCGGCGACCUGCCUACCACGGUGUUGACGGGUAACGGGGAAUCAGGGUUCGAUUCCGGAGAGGGAGCCUGCGAAACGGCUACCACCUCCAAGGAGGGCAGCAGGCGCGCAACUUACCCAAUCCCGACACGGGGAGGUAGUGACGAAAAAUAACGUGGCGGGGCCCUUUCGUGGUCGCCGCGGGCGGAAUGAGCGCAAUUUAAAAGAGUGUGCGAGGAGCUAUUGGAGGGCAAGCCUGGUGCCAGCAGCCGCGGUAAUUCCAGCUCCAAUAGCCUAUAUCGGAGUUGCUGCGGUUAAAAAGCUCGUCGUUGGAUCUCGGAGGCGGCACGGUCGGGCGCGAUACGCUGCGGGUCCGACCGGCGAUUUCUCGGCCGUCCCUAACCAGCGCGCGGGGCGAGGUGGACUUCGCGGUCCUGCCUCGUUUUUCUCCUUCACGGGAGAGAACCCGCCGCAUUUUCUGUCUACCUUGAAAAAAUUAGAGUGCUAAAGGCAGGCUAAAACCCCGAGCCUGAAUAUUUCGUGCAUGGAAUAAGCGGGGAUGCUCUUUUCCGGAGGGCGGUCCGACCGACUGGCGACGUCGCUUUCGCUGUCGGUUUCGCCGGAGAGCUAGGAUUCNAGAGGAACGGUGGGGGGCGAGCGUACCGGGCGGGGAGAGGAGAAAUUUUGUGAUCCGCUCGGGACGACUCGAAGCGAAAGCGCUGGCCCCGGACGUCUUCCUUAAUCCAGAACGAAGGUGGGUGGAGCAAAGACGAUCAGAUACCGUCGUAGUACCGACGGUAAACGCUGCCGACCGGGCCGCGGACGAGGCUCGAGAACAGCGGUUAUGGACCCGUCCGUGGCGGCUUCGGGCAACCUGAGAGUUUACGGGUUCCGGGGGUAGUAUGGUCGCAAGGCUGAAACUUGAAGGAAUUGACGGAAGGGCACCACAAGGAGUGGAGCCUGCGGCUUAAUUUGACUCAACACGGGGCAACUUACCCGGUCCGGACAUCGUCAGGAUUGACAGACGCUCGUGCAGUUCUUUCUCGAUUCGANGGGUGGUGGUGCAUGGCCGUUCGUGGCUGGUGAAGUGAAAAGUCUGGUUUAUUCCGCUAACGGGCGAGGCCUCGCCCUUAACUAGUCGGCUCGUGGUUCUCGAAUCGUAGUCUCCCUUCGGGGAGCAGGGAGAACAUCGGGCGAGUCGCAGCGAUCGUCGCUACUUCUUAGGGGGAUCCCGAGCAAGCUUAAGCUAGGUGAGAGAGAUCAAUAACAGGUCAGUGAUGCCCUUAGAUGUCCGGGGCCGCACGCGCGCUACACUGAAGA